UAGGGAAUUUUACGCAAUGGGCGAAAGCCUGACGUAGCGACACCGCGUGAGCGAAGAAGCCCUUUGGGGUGUAAAGCUCUGUCAGCUGGAACGAAACAAAUGACGGUACCAGCAGAGGAAGCAUCGGCUAACUACGUGCCAGCAGCCGCGGUAAGACGUAGGAUGCAAGCGUUGUCCGGAUUUAUUGGGCGUAAAGAGUUCGUAGGCGGUUUGUUAAGUCUGAUGUUAAAGAUCAGGGCCCAACCCUGGGAGUGCAUUGGAUACUGGCAGACUGGAGUGUGGUAGAGGUAAGUGGAAUUCCUGGUGUAGCGGUGAAAUGCGUAGAUAUCAGGAAGAACACCGGUGGCGUAGGCGACUUACUGGGCCAUAACUGACGCUGAGGAACGAAAGCCAGGGGAGCAAAUG
This 405-nucleotide ribosomal RNA is filed under the name uncultured Vampirovibrio sp. RNAcentral describes it as "partial 16S ribosomal RNA". It matches the Rfam family "Bacterial small subunit ribosomal RNA", at positions 355 to 774 of the family's 1533-position model. The record is from RNAcentral. Lineage: Bacteria; Bacillati; Candidatus Melainabacteria; Vampirovibriophyceae; Vampirovibrionales; Vampirovibrionaceae.